GGAAGAGUAUCGAAGUGGUCAUAACGGCCCUGACUCGAAAUCAGGUGACGGGCAACCGUCCGUGGGUUCGAAUCCCACCUCUUCCGCCA
RNAcentral lists this transfer RNA (89 nucleotides) under Clostridia bacterium. RNAcentral's name for it is "tRNA-Ser". It matches the Rfam family "tRNA". From Rfam's summary of the family: Transfer RNA (tRNA) molecules are approximately 80 nucleotides in length. Their secondary structure includes four short double-helical elements and three loops (D, anti-codon, and T loops). Further hydrogen bonds mediate the characteristic L-shaped molecular structure. tRNAs have two regions of fundamental functional importance: the anti-codon, which is responsible for specific mRNA codon recognition, and the 3' end, to which the tRNAs corresponding amino acid is attached (by aminoacyl-tRNA synthetases). tRNAs cope with the degeneracy of the genetic code in two manners: having more than one tRNA (with a specific anti-codon) for a particular amino acid; and 'wobble' base-pairing, i.e. permitting non-standard base-pairing at the 3rd anti-codon position. Lineage: Bacteria; Bacillati; Bacillota; Clostridia. The record is from RNAcentral.